AAAUAUUUUUGAAUAAAUGUACUUAAACUUCGAAAGAAUUGAAUGAUGAAAUCCAUAGUUUAAAACUAGAAACCUAUGAAACGAAAUCCUAGUUUUUAUCAGUGGUAUACUUGUAGCAAGGGCUUAAAAGGCUCUUCGGAAAGUUUCCUAUAGAAGUUUCUCUUUACAUCCUAAGCCUUUUCCUACAAUCACAUAAGUACAAUACUGUCCUAUCCCCCCUUUCCGUUGUUAUGUGUACUUUCUCUUUGUCACUUAAUCACCUAACUUAACUAACAUUUUUAAACAAUAAAUGAUACAAGAAUUAAUAUGAUUAUAAUCCACUACUGGCUCCAGUUCCAUGAUUUGAAACAUAUUUUGCUGUCCACACUUUAGUAAAACUCGAUGAUAAGGAACUAUUUUUCAAAAAGUAGGAAGGGUAUUGAGUCUUUGGCUAUACGUACUUGAGUGACUUUUCCCCUCCAGAACUUUCUACAUAACUAACAUUCCGGCAGAAAAAAGUUAGUAAUUUUAAUUAUGAAUACAGAGGGCUUAGGACGUUAUGUCAAAACGUUUUGGCUCCUCAUCACGUCACCACAAUCCAUGUCGCCACGUCUGGUCAUGCACUGUCUGACGACCAUGAAUCUUGACAAUAGCCCUGCAGCGUAGUAUCAGUUGCAAAAGACUUCAUCGUGAGACUGUCAUGUCCAAAGCACACAACUCCCUGUUUUCUGGCUUUCCAUACUCUUUCUUGUUUACGAGGACGACGGUUUCCGAGCGCCUGUUUCAACAGUCCGCUCGCUCAGAAACCCAUUCGUAUUGCGUUUGUCGAUUUCACCUGUAUGUCUCCAGCUGCUUGAUGUAUGUGGAAACUGGAAUGAUAUAUCAUAGAAGAACUCGUGUAUACUUGACAUGUGUCACUUUUACAAACUGAGAUCCAUCUUGAUGACGUGGUUGGCUUUUGCCACUGGCCUUUGCGUUUGUUGAUACUCACCUGUCACAAGUUGCUGCAUGUUGCUUAUCACAGCUGGGGUAAGACUUGUUACAGGUUUUUUAUAUAAGGUCCUGUACCCCAAGUUGAUCCAUAUUCUUUUAUUUUCAGAUUCCAUUAAGUACAUACACGGAAUAUUCCCGUUGUGAAAAUUCUAUGUCCAGAGCUUGAGACAUCUUCAUGGUGUGAGUGUAUGGAUAUUGAUAUUUUGCAUCAGAAAGCGCUAUUACAUAGCCUUUCCAGAAGCGAUCAAUUUUUGGUGGCAUCACGCUACCUACCAACGCAACGUCAAACAAAGUCAGAAUGUGGUUCUGAUACAUAUCGUUCGUUCCAUCGUGACUUUAUAUUAGCUGUAGUUGUCAUGUGAUUUGCUCAUUCAUUUGCAUAUUCGAAAUCGUUUUAAUAUAAUGAGUUUAACUCUGUAAUACUACUACGUUUUAAAGGCAACACAUAUGAAUAAUGGCAGAAUUUCAACCCUUGUCCCCAAAUACUUUCAUGAUUUCACUCUAGUGAUGAGCUUAAAUAUAUUUCACCCAAAUGUUUAAAGUUUUUUCAAGAAAUUCGACAUGUAUGUGUUAGUGUAUGAACCAUGAAUAAUUGUCAUUCGUGUUGAAUAUUUCAAGUUCAAGUAAAAUGUAUUGUAAAUAAUAAAUAUGGGUGCACAUAGAGUAACCAUAGAUUUAAAUCGUACUAGCUGUGCUUAUUUAAAGCGAUAGAGAUAUAACGUUACAAGUAGUAUUUAUCUCUCUAGCUACCUAUAGAAAUUGAAUAUUUGUAAAGACUUUGAUCAUAAUCAUUCAUUUCUCAACUUUCGAAAAGUAUUGUGGCACAACGGUAUGUUUACGGACUUACAACGCUAGGAACCGGAUUUCGAUACCCGUGGUAGGCAGAGCUCAGAUAUCCCAUUGUGUAUCUUUGUGCUUAAUUAUAACCAGCCAAACAACAACCAACCAAAAAGUAUUAAAGCUUAUCGAGAGAAAGCAAUCACUUCUCAGACCAGCGUCCUCAUAAAACCAUAACUCCACCCUCACAGACCCAUGAAGAGCUUGAUCUGAUCAGAUGACACUUCCGUAACCCCAUCCCUAGAGCGUGUAGAUAAUUUCUAGACGUUGUUGUUAUGGUUUACUGUGUGCGUGCAGCUGUCUAACCAAGCACCCGUGAUGCAGGUGUGUGUGUGCAUAAAAAAAAUUUAACAUCGUGUGUUGAUUUUUGAUAUAUAAACGUGACGUAAUCUCGGAUCAGGUCAGCGCUUGACCAUUUACUUCGUUAUAUAGUAUUAUAUGAUAACGUGCUAUUUCAGUUAACAGUCACAGAAAUCGAACACGUGUAAUAAGGAAAAUACCAGGGAUGUUAUAAGAAUAUCCACCUACGGCUUCUUCAGAAAUAUUGGUACCAAGGCGCUGGAAAAAUAAAACUGAUAGUAUUUAACUUUUGCGCGUUGAACAGAGACUUGUAUGGUUUGUGUUAAGCGUAGAGUUGUUGAGGUUAAAUGGAAAUGUACUGAAAGCGGAUGACGGGGUGGUGCUCACGUGAUGUUUACGUGAACAAUUUCCUUCUCGAUCGUAAGGCUAGAUGGACUUGCUUGUCCAUUUCCUUACUUGAAACCUGCUAAGUCAACUAUCGCUAUUUAGGUUUUUGCAGAGAAAGGUUUCAAGGACGAAUCUUCAAAUCGAUUUUACUUCUCUUCUCCUUAUUGGCGAGAAAAUCUUGUGCGCGAUAGGACAACGCUCGAGCUAAAGUUGUGAGACACAGUAUUCAAGAGCGCGAGCCUGGAGACUAUCGUAUUGUUGCCGCAACAGUGGGGGUACAGAAGCUACAGUAGGAAUUUCACUCCACAGCAAGAACCCUUCAACCCUCGAUUCUUUAAAAUCUCGUGGUUAAAGUAAAGAAAAGUCUGAAUUAUAAGAUGUAGCAAAUUUUGUACUAAAAGUCAGGAAAAUUUCGAUCGUCAUCACUGAAGAAGAUAUAGACAACUGCAAUACGAUGCCAGACUCUGUGGACAACACUGAAAAACAGGCGACAUCUGGCGUUAGCGUACAGGUGAUGAACGAGAAACUGCACUCUGCACAAGGUAAAAGAAAACGUUCGCUAUCAAACGCCGAAUAAAAAGAACACUGGAGUGUUUAAACUCACAAAAUACUCUUUAAAAGUUUAAAUUAGUAGAACCACAAUAUCAGUAGAACAAAAACGUGUUACUGUACUUAUUAAAGUACUCAUUCUCAGUAUGGUACAGAAUCGAGAUAA
Molecule: long non-coding RNA, 3211 nt
Filed under: Limulus polyphemus (Atlantic horseshoe crab)
Lineage: Eukaryota; Metazoa; Arthropoda; Merostomata; Xiphosura; Limulidae
Description: uncharacterized LOC111086761, transcript variant X2
Source: RNAcentral